Lolium rigidum is the source of this 895-nucleotide RNA transcript. RefSeq lists it as uncharacterized. The record is from RefSeq and is a predicted model, not a curated record. The transcript is spliced from 3 exons. NCBI's taxonomy places the organism in Eukaryota, Viridiplantae, Streptophyta, Magnoliopsida, Poales, Poaceae.
CAGGUACAGUACGCCGUCGCCGUGCCCCUUGGCCGUGCGUCGUUGCUGUCGCCAGCGAUCCGGUCACACCGUCGCUACUGCUGUGAUUGAUGGAGAAGACUGGCUCAGUCCAAGGUUCAGAGAGAUGCUUGUCGGUGAUCACCUAGGCUACAAUGUAGAAAACUGCAGGAUGCAGACCGAAGUAGGAAAACUUCAGUGGGAACAUGAUGACACCAUGGACUGCCUCCAUGAAGCUCUCUUUGAUUGCAAAGAUGAAUGGAUCCAGGGCUGGGAAGUGGAUCGUCACAACUGGCGCUACAACCAUCCAAUUGCGUUAGGCCGACGCUGCCGUGAGUAAGUAUUUUGCAUCCCAAGUUGUGCAACUUUUCAUCAACUCUCAGGAGCAAUCAUAGAGCAGAUAAUUUAUGUGUUGCAUCCUCUUUCCCUCACAUUGCAGCUAUAAUUCUGGAGUGUACGCAAUGCAUUAUGCUCUUAUGUGUCCGAUUUGUCGGUUGAGGUGAGAGCGUCUGCUUUAUUGUUUGCUGAAAAUUUUGUUCAAGCUACAUGAUAUGCAAGGUUUAACGUAUGCUAUAUUUUUUCUGGCUUUGGACGACCAUGUGCUUGUGCGAGCGGACCAGUUUUACAAGCUCAUGAGGAUGCCAGGGAACCGGUGAUCUCCCUACUUUCCUUCACCAGGUUGCAGCAUGAGUUAGAGACUACCUGAUGUGCUUGUUAUCUUUGGGCUCCGGAAGCUGAUUUGCUCCAAUUUGGCUUGUAAUCAAACAACUAGUUUCCUAAGAUUAUUGUGAGCUGGACCAUCCUUAGUACGGCUCUUUUGAAUGUAUUACCAGACUGCUGGUGUAACUUAGAAGACUAUCAUUACUUUGUUAUGUAUUUGCUUGCAAAAAUGUUGUGA